Long non-coding RNA from Hemicordylus capensis (graceful crag lizard), 6731 nucleotides. RefSeq lists it as uncharacterized. The record is from RefSeq and is a predicted model, not a curated record. NCBI's taxonomy places the organism in Eukaryota, Metazoa, Chordata, Lepidosauria, Squamata, Cordylidae. The transcript is spliced from 3 exons.
GCAACGGGGGAGCAAGGACAGAAGAAAGAGGUGCAGAAGGAGGAAGAGGAACAAGCAGGAAGGCGCCAGCGGAGGAGACGUGAAAAGAAGCAGGAGGAGACCGGCUCUCCAGGAGCUUAGCAGAAGAAACGGGCAGGCUGUGCUUCCACCGGGCGGACGGCUUCAUUUCGCUCCCUCUCUCGGCCACUGAUCACUCUGCGUGGGGCUGCAGCUGGCCUUGCAGCGUGGCAUUCCUGGUGCUGGACUUCAUGUCUUUGCACUCAGGAGCCCUGACAGGGGUGGGAGUGCGGCCUUCUCAGGCCGCCCUGAAUCUCUCUGCACCGAGUCCCUUGCCAUUGGGUGGGAGGUGGCUUGCUCCUGCUGGACCUGAAGUAUGUGCGCUGAGCCGCCCCUGGAUGGGACUGGGGGUAUUGCUUUUUCGCGCCACUGCUUUCUGUAUGUGCGCUGAGCUGCCCCUGGGUAGGCUGGCCUGGGGGUGUUGCUUCCUCGCGCCGAGCCUUAGAGGUAUGUGCGCUGAGCCGCCCCUGGUCGGGGCUGGGGGCGUUAGCUUUCUCACGCCGAGCUUGAUGCCAUGUGCGCUGAGCCUGCCCCUGGCUGGGCUCAGCUUGGGGGUGUUGCUUCCUCUCGCGCCGAGCCUUCGGGUAUGUGCGCUGAGCCGCCCCGGGCUGGGGCUGGGAGCGUUGCUUUGUGCUGCCAGGCCUUAUGUCUCUGCACUGAGCCGCCCCAGUGAGGGCUGGGGGCGUUGCUUCCUCUCGCCACGAGCUUCACGUCUUUGCUCUGAGAAGCCCCUCAUUUGGCCAGGGGGUGGCUCUCUCCAAGCCUUGCUGCCUGACUUUGCCCUUCAUGCUCCCAGUGGUGUUGAGCUGGCCACUCCGGCCUGCCCACGGAGCAAGCUCGGGACGGUAGAAGUGUGGCCUCCCGGACCUCUUCCAGCAGCAGCAGCAGCCUCUGCUGGCUGAAGGCACACGCCUGACGCUUGGUGUGCUCACGCUCCUCCUUGGCUUGGGCUCUUGCGUGAGCAGGGCUGCUCCUCAAGAAGGCCUUCUGAAGAGGGAAAAGAGUCAAGAGCUGCGAGAAGCUGAUCUCUUGCCUUGGGAGGCAAAGGAGAGAAAGGGCAGAAGAAAGAAGUGCCGCAGGCUGGCGAAAGAGAAGCCGCAAGGAGCAACAGGAGGAGACCUGGACGGGGAAGAAGGAGGCGGAGAAGACUGGCUCUCAAGCAGCUUCACAGAAGGAAGAAGGGGGAGCUUCCGCUCCCACCAGCUGGAGGGCCUCAUUGCUGCCCUUCUCUCUGCUCCGUCUCCCUGAGUAGCCACUGGUUUGGGAGGGGCGUGGACAGAACAGGAUGGACUCGGUGUCCAUCCGCUCAGUGGCCCUUUCUUGAACUGGGCUGCGGCUUUCUUGUGCUGGACUUCAUGUCUCUGCACUUGGGGAGCCCUACAAAUAGUGAGAGGGUGGCCCUCAUAGGGGCCAUCCAAGGGGCAGCCCCUAUUUCAGCUGAGGUGUGGCUUUCUCGGGCUGGACUUUAUGUCUUUGCACUGGGGAACCCUACGACUGUGGGAGCGUGGCCUUCUUGGUGUCUGUAUACUGGAGAAGCCCGGAUUGGUCUGGGGAGUGGCCUUCUCGUGCUGGACUUUACGUCUUUGCACUGGGGAGCCCUACAAAUAGUGAGAGGGUGGCCCUCAUAGGUGCCAUCCAAGGGGCAGCCCCUAUUUCAGCUGAGGUGUGGCUUUCUCGGGCUGGACUUUAUGUCUUUGCACUGGGGAGCCCUACGACUGUGGGAAGUGUCUGUAUACUGGAGAACUCCUGAUUUGUCUGGGGGCGUGUUUCUCGUGCUGGACUUCACGUCUCUGCACUGGGGAGCCCUACAAAUAGUGAGAGGGUGGCCCUUGUAGGGGCCGUACACGGAGCAGCCCCCAUUUCGGCUGAGGUGUGGCUUUCUCGUGCUGGACUUUAUGUCUUUGCACUGGGGAGCCCUACGACUGUGGGAAGUGUCUGUAUACUGGAGAAGCCCGGAUUGGUCUGGGGAGUGGCCUUCUCGUGCUGGACUUCACGUCUCUGCACUGGGGAGCCCUACAAAUAGUGAGAGGGUGGCCCUCGUAGGGGCCGUACACGGAGCAGCCCCCAUUUCGGCUGAGGUGUGGCUUUCUCGUGCUGGACUUCACGUCUUUGCACUGCGGAGCCCUACAAUUGUGGGAGCGUGGCCUCUUUUUGAUUAUUAUUAUUUUGACAUUUCUAGCCCGCUCUUCUUCCCAGGAGCCCAAAGCGGUGUACUGCAUACUUGUUUCCCCCCCUCCCACAACAACCCUGUGAGUAGGUUAGGCUGAGAGAGAAGCGACUGGCCCAGAGUCACCCAGCUAGUAGCAUGGCUGAAUGGGGAUUUGGACUCGAGUCUCCCCGGUCCUAGUAAACUAGGGAACCCCUGAUUUGGCUGUGGUGCCGGUUUCACGUGCUGGACUUCACGUCUUUGCACUGGGGAGCCCUACAAUGGUAAGAGUAUGGCCAUCGUAGUGGCUGUAUACUGGGGACCCCCGAUUUGGCUGGGGAGCGGCUUUCUCAUGCUGGACUUCACGUCCUGGCCCUGGGGAGCCCCGAAAGAGGUGGGAGUAUGUCCUCCCCAGACGAGCCUGAGUGUCUGUAUGCUGCGUGGCUGCUCAUUUAUCCGCAGGGUGCCGUUCCUCGCUGCGUGACUUUGCCCUUCAUCUUGCAAGUGGUGAUGAGUUGGCAUCUCCCAACUGCCCCGUCCCUAGUCUUCAGCUUGGCGCGCCCUGCCCACGGAGAAAGCCAGGGACGGUGGAAGUGCGGCAUCCAUGACCUCUUCAAGCAGCGUGGUGUGCCGAGGAGCGGGCCCUGCUGGCUGGCUGAAGAAGGCACACGAAGGCAACGGGGGAGCAAGGACAGAAGAAAGAGGUGCAGGAGGAGGAAGAGGAACAAGCAGGAAGGCGCCAGCGGAGGAGACGUGAAAAGAAGCAGGAGGAGACCGGCUCUCCAGGAGCUUAGCAGAAGAAACGGGCAGGCUGUGCUUCCACCGGGCGGACGGCUUCAUUUCGCUCCCUCUCUGGGCCACUGAUCACUCUGCGUGGGGCUGCAGCUGGCCCUGCAGCGUGGCAUUCCUGGUGCUGGACUUCAUGUCUUUGCACUCAGGAGCCCUGACAGGGGUGGGAGUGCGGCCUUCUCAGGCCGCCCUGAAUCUCUCUGCACCGAGUCCCUUGCCAUUGGGUGGGAGGUGGCUUGCUCCUGCUGGACCUGAAGUAUGUGUGCUGAGCCGCCCCUGGAUGGGACUGGGGGUAUUGCUUUUUCGCGCCACUGCUUUCUGUAUGUGCGCUGAGCUGCCCCUGGGUAGGCUGGCCUGGGGGUGUUGCUUCCUCGCGCCGAGCCUUAGAGGUAUGUGCGCUGAGCCGCCCCUGGUCGGGGCUGGGGGCGUUAGCUUUCUCACGCCGAGCUUGAUGCCAUGUGCGCUGAGCCUGCCCCUGGCUGGGCUCAGCUUGGGGGUGUUGCUUCCUCUCGCGCCGAGCCUUCGGGUAUGUGCGCUGAGCCGCCCCGGGCUGGGGCUGGGAGCGUUGCUUUGUGCUGCCAGGCCUUAUGUCUCUGCACUGAGCCGCCCCAGUGAGGGCUGGGGGCGUUGCUUCCUCUCGCCACGAGCUUCACGUCUUUGCUCUGAGAAGCCCCUCAUUUGGCCAGGGGGUGGCUCUCUCCAAGCCUUGCUGCCUGACUUUGCCCUUCAUGCUCCCAGUGGUGUUGAGCUGGCCACUCCGGCCUGCCCACGGAGCAAGCUCGGGACGGUAGAAGUGUGGCCUCCCGGACCUCUUCCAGCAGCAGCAGCAGCCUCUGCUGGCUGAAGGCACACGCCUGACGCUUGGUGUGCUCACGCUCCUCCUUGGCUUGGGCUCUUGCGUGAGCAGGGCUGCUCCUCAAGAAGGCCUUCUGAAGAAGGAAAAGAGUCAAGAGCUGCGAGAAGCUGAUCUCUUGCCUUGGGAGGCAAAGGAGAGAAAGGGCAGAAGAAAGAAGUGCCGCAGGCUGGCGAAAGAGAAGCCGCAAGGAGCAACAGGAGGAGACCUGGACGGGGAAGAAGGAGGCGGAGAAGACUGGCUCUCAAGCAGCUUCACAGAAGGAAGAAGGGGGAGAUUCCGCUCCCACCAGCUGGAGGGCCUCAUUGCUGCCCUUCUCUCUGCUCUGUCUCCCUGAGUGGAGGAUGAUUUACCUGGAGCCUGGCUGCUUCAGGAGGCUUGGGAUGUCCCUGCCCUGAGUAGCCACUGGUUUGGGAGGGGCGUGGACAGAACAGGAUGGACUCGGUGUCCAUCCGCUCAGUGGCCCUUUCUUGAACUGGGCUGCGGCUUUCUCGUGCUGGACUUCAUGUCUCUGCACUUGGGGAGCCCUACAAAUAGUGAGAGGGUGGCCCUCAUAGGGGCCAUCCAAGGGGCAGCCCCUAUUUCAGCUGAGGUGUGGCUUUCUCGGGCUGGACUUUAUGUCUUUGCACUGGGGAGCCCUACGACUGGGAGCGUGGCCUUCUUGGUGUCUGUAUACUGGAGAAGCCCGGAUUGGUCUGGGGAGUGGCCUUCUUGUGCUGGACUUUACGUCUUUGCACUGGGGAGCCCUACAAAUAGUGAGAGGGUGGCCCUCAUAAUGGCCAUCCAAGGGGCAGCCCCUAUUUCAGCUGAGGUGUGGCUUUCUCGUGCUGGACUUUACGUCUUUGCACUGGGGAGCCCUACAAAUAGUGAGAGGGUGGCCCUCAUAGGGGCCGUCCAAGGGGCAGCCCCUAUUUCAGCUGAGGUGUGGCUUUCUCGGGCUGGACUUUAUGUCUUUGCACUGGGGAGCCCUACGACUGUGGGAAGUGUCUGUAUACUGGAGAACUCCUGAUUUGUCUGGGGGCGUGUUUCUCAUGCUGGACUUCACGUCUCUGCACUGGGGAGCCCUACAAAUAGUGAGAGGGUGGCCCUCGUAGGGGCCGUACACGGAGCAGCCCCCAUUUCGGCUGAGGUGUGGCUUUCUCGUGCUGGACUUAACGUCUUUGCACUGGGGAGCCCUACAAAUAGUGAGAGGGUGGCCCUCAUAGGGGCCAUCCAAGGGGCAGCCCCUAUUUCAGCUGAGGUGUGGCUUUCUCGGGCUGGACUUUAUGUCUUUGCACUGGGGAGCCCUACAACUGUGGGAGCAUGGCCUUCUUGGUGUCUGUAUACUGGAGAAGCCCGGAUUUGUCUGGGGGGCGUGUUUCUCAUGCUGGACUUCACGUCUUUGCACUGUCUGUCUUAGUGGCCAUACAGUGGGUUUCAGGUAUCACUUUUUCCAAUUGGAUUUUACAUUUUUUCUUUGUAUUUUACAUUUCAAUGUCUGGGGGAGCUUCAAUCCUGGUUAUAUGACUUUGCUCUUCUUUUUCUGAAUGGUGAUGAAGUGGUACCUCCGGCCUUGCGUGGUACGACAGUAGGGGUGCGACAUUUCUGACCUCUUCAAGCGGUGUGGUAUGCUGAGCACGCUCUGCUGGCUGAAAGCACACGAGAAUAGGAGAAAGAUUGAAGGAAGAACUGCAGAACAAGGAGAAAGAACAUCAGAAAGUCCCAACAGGAGCCCUGAAGACUAACUGGAGAAGUGGGAGGAGAAGACCGGAUAACAAGAAGCAGGAGAGAAGAAACAGGCAGGCUCCCUCCUCGGAGCUGACUGCCUCCUUCACGACUGAGUAGCAAUUCUGUCACAUAGAAAUAUCCCCACAUUGCUGUGAGCCUGUUUCAACCCAAGAUGGCGACCACCUCCAAAGGACUUCACUUUUUGGUGGCGUCUAAAUAUUGGCACAGCCCUGUGAAGCUGCUUGGCCUGUCCGCUGGUGGGGGUCUCAAAAGAGCGGCAUGCUUGAGGGGCAGUUUUCUGGCAGUUCAGUCUUCAUGCCUGACCCUGUGUCUCGGCUGCUUCCUGCUCUGAGAAAUCCCCAAGGUACUUGGAGUGUGGUUUUCUUCAUUCCUGGCUUGAUAUCUCUGCUUCAGAUUGCUCAGAGCCUCCACUGAGAUGUCUGGAGAGCCACUGGCCUUGGGUGUGUCCAGGGUUUUAUCCUAGAUGGCUUCUCUGCCCCCCAUUAUUUCUGUGUGCUGCUUGCAAUAUUGUUUAAAUACAAACUUAAAAUAUGUUAGAAACUAAAACAAAAAUAGCUGUUGCAUAGGAUAACAUCUAAAAGGAUAGGAUCAAACCUAAAAAGAAUAAACAAGUGUAGUAUAAUAUAAGUAGGAUAACAUCUAAAAGAUUAGGAUAAAAUCUAAAAAGGUUCAACAAGUGUAGUAUAAUAUAAGACAUACAGAUCUAUUAACUUAAUUAGGAAGGCUAAUAGGAACUAAAAUGAAGCAUUUUCAACGUAGAUUAGAUAUUCUAGACCAACUAGUGUAUUAAAAUAAUAUUCAAAGCAGCAUAUGGGAAUGGUGAGAAAAAGCACUUUGCUACUGAAAGUCUGAAAGGCCAGAACCCAUCCACCACUCGCUCAUGUAGCUCUUCCGUGGCUCCGAGUCUCUUCCUGCUAGCAUCUUACAGACUAUUCCCCCUUUGAUGCAAAGAUGGGUGCUUGGGCAAUUUGAUGUAGAAAUAAAGAUCAAUAUUGUCUUUGUGUAGCUUUGCUUACUGACAGGCUUAUAGGAUGCUGAAGAGGGUAUUUCUGUCAAGCACCCAGAACUGAUUCUUAUUUCAAGUUGUUUUAACCUGUGUUUUUUUGUAAAUGGCCCAGAGCCAUGAGGUUUGCUAAAUAAAAAACUCUCCGUAUUGUC